This 353-nucleotide unclassified non-coding RNA is filed under the name soil metagenome. Its description in RNAcentral is "partial contains 5.8S ribosomal RNA, internal transcribed spacer 2, and large subunit ribosomal RNA". The stretch from base 1 to 120 matches the Rfam family "5.8S ribosomal RNA", at positions 35 to 154 of the family's 154-position model. The record is from RNAcentral.
GAUGAAGAACGUAGCGAAAUGCGAUAAGUAAUGUGAAUUGCAGAAUUCAGUGAAUCAUCGAAUCUUUGAACGCACAUUGCGCCCGCCAGUAUUCUGGCGGGCAUGCCUGUUCGAGCGUCAUUACAACCCUCAGGCCCCCGGGCCUGGCGUUGGGGAUCGGCGGAAGCCCCCUGCGGGCACAACGCCGUCCCCCAAAUACAGUGGCGGUCCCCCCGCAGCUUCCAUUGCGUAGUAGCUAACACCUCGCAACUGGAGAGCGGCGCGGCCACGCCGUAAAACACCCAACUUCUGAAUGUUGACCUCGAAUCAGGUAGGAAUACCCGCUGAACUUAAGCAUAUCAAUAAGCGGAGGA